UCGUAUAAAGAAACAAAAUCGAGUGUGGAAUGCAAGGAGCGUGAAGGACGGCGAUAACAAGUUCAAAAGGCUAAUUACAUGAUUUUUAGUUAUACCAAAAAAAGGACAAAAGGAGUUGACGGCGUCAAAAAGACACGUGAAACCCAAUCAGGUCUCCUCGAAGUUUCAUGGAAAAAGACGACAGUUCAACUGACCUGACACAUCACCCAACUCUCAUAUGCCGCAGCUAACGGCGCUUUAACGGUAAUGGCUACCGUCCAUAAUGCCCUUU
Arabidopsis thaliana (thale cress) is the source of this 271-nucleotide long non-coding RNA. RefSeq annotates it as other RNA. The transcript has a single exon. The record is from RefSeq. Lineage: Eukaryota; Viridiplantae; Streptophyta; Magnoliopsida; Brassicales; Brassicaceae.